RNAcentral lists this ribosomal RNA (497 nucleotides) under uncultured bacterium. RNAcentral describes it as "partial 16S ribosomal RNA". It matches the Rfam family "Bacterial small subunit ribosomal RNA", at positions 28 to 507 of the family's 1533-position model. The record is from RNAcentral.
GAUGAACGCUGGCGGCGUGCCUAAUACAUGCAAGUCGAGCGAACGGACGAGAAGCUUGCUUCUCUGAUGUUAGCGGCGGACGGGUGAGUAACACGUGGAUAACCUACCUAUAAGACUGGGAUAACUUCGGGAAACCGGAGCUAAUACCGGAUGAUAUUUUGAACCGCAUGGUUCAAAAGUGAAAGACGGUCUUGCUGUCACUAAUAGAUGGAUCCGCGCUGCAUUAGCUAGUUGGUAAGGUAACGGCUUACCAAGGCAACGAUGCAUAGCCGACCUGAGAGGGUGAUAGGCCACACUGGAACUGAGACACGGUCCAGACUCCUACGGGAGGCAGCAGUAGGGAAUCUUCCGCAAUGGGCGAAAGCCUGACGGAGCAACGCCGCGUGAGUGAUGAAGGUCUUCGGAUCGUAAAACUCUGUUAUUAGGGAAGAACAUAUGUGUAAGUAACUGUGCACAUCUUGACGGUACCUAAUCAGAAAGCCACGGCUAACUACGUG